AAGUCGUAACAAGGUUUCCGUAGGUGAACCUGCGGGAGGAUCAUUAACACGUAUCCAACGUUAAACCCCCUGUGAACCUUCAUUGUACGAGUUACAUCCACGUCAUAAACCGGCAAUCUCUGGUAAAUCAUCGCCGAACAGUUUUGAUUCAGAGACCUCUGGGAAGGGUGUACGGUAGUGCGAGGCAAUUGACCUGGCAUUCCUCUGCUCUGGUCGCCGGCCGUGUCGGCCUCCAGCGAUCGUUACCGCCAUCCGUACAUAGCUAGUGACACUUUCAGACACUGGCUACGGCCCCCCUGAUCACAACCUUUGCAUGAAAACGGGCCUGCGCUGAGGUGCGGCCACCCCUAAUGCUUGAACAACUGUUAACAAUGGAUAUCUUGGUUCUC
This 389-nucleotide unclassified non-coding RNA is filed under the name fungal sp. RNAcentral's name for it is "partial internal transcribed spacer region". The stretch from base 1 to 46 matches the Rfam family "Eukaryotic small subunit ribosomal RNA", at positions 1786 to 1831 of the family's 1831-position model. The record is from RNAcentral. Lineage: Eukaryota; Fungi.